Artibeus jamaicensis (Jamaican fruit-eating bat) is the source of this 4648-nucleotide long non-coding RNA. RefSeq lists it as uncharacterized. The record is from RefSeq and is a predicted model, not a curated record. The transcript has 6 exons. NCBI's taxonomy places the organism in Eukaryota, Metazoa, Chordata, Mammalia, Chiroptera, Phyllostomidae.
CCGAGCCUGGCAGCCGGUGUCUGCAGCUGCUCCGGCAGCCGCCGGAGCGCGCACAAGUGCGCAGGGAGCGCGGCGUCUCAGCGCCCGGACCAGCGGGGCGAGGGAAUUAGCCGCGUCAUUUCUGGCCAGCCUAGCAACACGUGUGUGCUGAUCCUGAUGGCUCCUGCCUGGCCACAGCGUCCCAGGGCAGGAAAGGGACGUGCGUUCUAAAGGAGACUUAAGGUUUGGGGUUGUACUUGUCCUGGCAGCAGGGAAGAUGAGACCAAGAUCAGGGACCCAGCGCGGGCUGCCCGUGGGACCUGGGAAAAAGAAAAAAUGUAUAUGUUAUCUUUCGGAAACCACCAGCUGUCAUCUCCACUGCACUUGGCCUGAUGGGUCCCCACGAGGAAGGCAGGGCCCGUCUAUUAGAGGAAUCAUCAGCCGCUGUGUGGAGCUGCUCUGGAAAUGACCGCAGUAACAGACAAUGUCUCAGGCAAGGUCAAACGUGCGAAUUUCAUAGAUGCCUCAACCAUCCAGAUUGUGCACGCAGAUUAUGCUUCAUUUCAAAAGUCCUAGAUCUUUGCUGUACUAUCUUUAUCCAUUCUUUUCACGGUUACAAAGAAAAAUAGGUGUGUAUUGUCAAAUAACUGAAAAAUACAUGCGAAUGGAAAUGGAAAUGGCCACUGCUGAUGAUUUAGUGCCUAUUGUCUGGGUCGUUAGACAUUUAUUUGUGGAUAAUAAUGUUACCUCUGUAUAGACAGUGUGCGGACAUUCUGCACAUGUAGUACUGUGCAGCAUUUUGCUGCUUGGCUUUGUUGAGAAGAUGGCUUUAGGGCCGAAUCACAUCCCUUCUUCUACGUGAUGUCCUCAGUCCGGAAUCGUCAUGUGUGCCAGGUGCUGCUGCAGGCUUUGGGAGUCCAAAAGUAAAUAAGAAAGGCAGCGUCUGGCUCCCCGGGGCUCAUCGUCACCUGGUGGAAGGGGCAGAAGCAGGAAUCGGUCAUCACAAAAGUGGUGAGUGCGACAGGAGGGGACAGGCCAUCACGCUGUCAGCGGGACAGGGGUGGAGCAGCCUCCCUGAGGAAGUACUGCUCUGGCAGAGCACCACCGGCUGUGCGCCGCAGGAAGUGGUCGGACUGGAGGUGGGAGGAACAGGACUUGGCUGUUAACUGCGUGUGAGGGAGGACCGAAGGGUGUCUUCAAGGCUUCUCGCUUGAGCAGCCAGGCGGGUAGCCCCAUGACUGACCUGCUGGUCUAGAAAUUACACUGUUUCCAUUUUUUCUUUCUUUCACUAUUAAUAAUGCUGCAGUGAACAUGCUUACACAUGAGUCUGUGACCCCUUUUCUCUCUGUGUCCUCAGGAUAGAGGGGUUCCUGAGUGGUAUAGGAUGGCAGUGUGUAAGGGUUUGAUAAGGGUCUUAUCAAAUCACCUUCCCACCCACAGCCACAAGAGGACUCAUUCUGUCACUCCCUGCAGUCAUGGAAUGGCCGUGGUGAUGGAACGUGCAUUAGUUCUCCCGAGUGGCCAUCCCUGCUCUAAGAACAUCACGUAUUUUCACCUAUUAAAUUCUCAUGACCACCACUCUACAGUAGGUGCUGUUGUCCUCACAUCACGGAGGAGCUAGAGGGGACCCUGCUGCCACCUCAUUCAGAGCUGACACUUAACCCAGCCAGUCUGACGCUGCGGAGUCUUCUUUUCAACACACAGGGUAGCAUUUUGUUUAGUGUGGCCAAUUUCAUAUUUUUACAAGUUUGUAUUUCCUUGAACACUGGUAAAUCUGAAUAUUUUAAUGUUUUCCUUUUCUAUCAUGUUUUUAGACAUGCAUGUUUGCAUGUAUGUGGUGGAGUGUGUGGAAUACUUAGUAUGGUGUGUCCUAUGGGGGGUGCGUUUAGAUUAUGUGCGUGCCUGUGGUGGUACAUGAGCGUGCAUGCGUGGAGUAGUGUGUGUACUGUGUGGGUGUUUGUGUGCCAGAGCGCACUGUCCAUUUACACCCACAAGGCCAUACAGCUCUGGAGUCAUGUAGGUCAGUGGCAACUUGGGCAAAUUAUGCUUCUGAGGGGAUAGCAGGACGUCCCUUUCCUCUUUGGAGAAGUCACCGCUCACAGCGAGGCUUGCUGCGGUCAGGGUGGUGUUUGGCCAUGGGCCUGAGCUCCACAGUUGCGUCUCUAAGAAUCUGUGUGGGCCACAGCUGGUGUCUGUCUGACUGUGAGGUUUCCUGUUGCACAACGAGACUUGAAGAACAGCCCGAGACCUGGCCUGAGGGACGCCAAGCUCUGCCCAGCCCUCUCCGUGUGGUCAGGAAGGAAGGACGUGCUCUCUGGCAAGUAAGGGACCCAUGGGAAGUCCCUCAUCGAGGGACAGGAGGCUUUGUUCCACUUCUCUCUCCCUUUCUUAGCUCCACUGAGCUGCUUCCCCUGUGGGCCUUGCAGGGGCCCCUCGUCUUUCUGCACCUUCCUUCCUCUUUCCACAGACAAAUUUUGGGGAGCACUUGCAGUAAGGGGCUUCCUACAUAUUGAAAACCUUGCAUCCUGCUGCAACACAAGCAGACGCAGUGGAGGAUGGAAACAGUAUUGAUAGGUAGAGGACGCAGACCCAGGGCACACCAGGGAACCGUGAGACAGCACCACGUGCUGGGCCACCCCUUCUAAGCAGUGGUCUUCGGAACCAGAUGUAUAAAAGUACCAGGAAAAGAAAGGAAGCCAAAGGUUAAAAAAGCAGACUACUGCCAUCAGGAACAAUGAAGUUUUAUGGCCAUGCUUGUCAAUGGCGUGGUUUACGAGUGAAACUCAGUGCCAGACUCACUGUGCGGGACGGGCACAGCUGAGGCGCCGCCGGCCUGGGGUGAGAACUGAAGAGAGGCCGGAGUCCCGUGCAUGAGCCUCAGUGUGGAAGCUUACCUGUGCCUGAAUCCUCCAACAUCAGCCCUGUCACCUCAAAGACCAAAGUCCCAGCGUUGUCUACGUUUCAGCUUGCCUGUCUCAAAGGUCUGUGCCGGCGCAGAGAGAUGUCCUGCAGCACCUGCCGAAGGCUCCAGCCCCUGAGCUGGGAGGCAAGAGGAGCAAGACACAGCCCUUCCUGGGGCGGAGCCGCCAGCCAGGGCUCAGUGAGAGCCUGUGGAGGACUGUGGCGUAAAGAGGUGCUAAGCCUCCCAGAAGGGGCCCCGAGCAUGUGGGGCUCACAUAAUGGAAUGUCACAUUUAGUGAAACAGUAAAAACGGUCUCAAAAGGAGAUGCUAUUUGAAAUGUUCAUAACAGCGUUAUUCAUAAGAGCCCCAAAGUAAAAACAAGCCAAAUGUCCAACAACUGCUGAUAGACAAAAUGUGGCCCGUCCAAACGGUGAACUACACUCAGCGAUAAAUGGGACUGAAGUUCUGACUCCUGUUACGGUGUAGAUGCAUCUUGAAACAUCAUGCUAAGUGAGAGAAGCCAGACACACAAGACCACAUACUAUGUGAUGCCUUCCUAUGAAAUGUCUAGAAUGGGCGAAUCUCCAGCGACAGAAGGAGGUGAAGUUCGAGAUGGGCCCUGGAGGUUAGAUUGCAGACGCCCAGAGGACUGACGGGCUCCUUCCACGGGAAACCCGUGUGCGGGGCUGAGGUGAGAAGGGGUGAGGUUAGAGUUUACCGCGUCCUUCCUCCGAGGGGUGCCGCUGAGACGCGCUGCCGUUCAGAGAUGCGGUGACCGCCAUCACGCGUGGGCAUCAUGAAGAGUUUCCUCCAGCUUCACUGAGGUGUAACUGACAAACAAAAUCGCAGUAUAUUUAAAGUGUACUAACACUGUGGUCCUUGUGAUCUUAUAGAUGUAUGUAUUUUGAGCGUGUGCCUACCUUUAGGUCCUUAAGUGACAUCCAUCAUAUUUAGCUUUAUUUUUUGGUGAGAACACUUAAGUUCUACUUUCUUAGCAAAUUUCAGUGAUGCAGUACUGUGUUAUCAGCUACAGUCAUCAUGCUGUGAUUAGACCCUCGGACCUCAUUCAUCUCAUAACUGAAGCUGCACAUCCUUCACCCGUCCCUCCCUACUCUCCCCACCCUGCCGGUCAGAGCUGCUGAUGACCAGCAUUCUGCUCUCUGUUUGUAACUUCUCAAGUUACACAAAUUUCACUUCUUAAGUUAUGUCAUACACCUGAAACUUAUAUAAUAUUUUAUGUCAACUGUAAUUAAAAUUUAAAUUUUUUUAUUGAUUAUGCCAUUACAUUUGUUCUAUUCCCCCCCUGUUCCCCUUCACCCUGCACACCCCUCCCCCACCAUUCCCCCCUUCAGUUCAUGAACACGUGUCUCAAGUUCUUUAGAUUCUGUAUUUCCCCUACUAUUCUUACCCUCCCCCUAUCUAUUUUCUAUCUAGUGUCUAUGCUACUUAUUUUCUGUACCUUCUCCCCCCUUCUCCUUCUCCCACUCAUGUGGAGAAUUAAAAAUUUUUUAUUACCAAAAGUAAUUACUGAUAAGUAUAUACUUGCUAUUGCUGUUUUGUUCACUGGUUUUUGGCUGUUUUGUAACUUCCUUCUUUCUUCCUUUCUUCUGUCUUCCUGUGUGAUUUGAUGAUUUUCUCUGGUGGUAUGCUUUGAUUCCUUGCUCUUUAUCUUUUGUUUAUCUACCGUAUAUUUUUUUCUUUGUAGUUACCAUGAAGUGUACAUAAAACAUCAUAUAUUUAUAGCAGUCUAUUUUAAGCUAAUAACAA